AUUGAACGCUGGCGGCAGGCCUAACACAUGCCAGUCGAGCGGAUGAAGGGAGCUUGCUCCUGGAUUCAGCGGCGGACGGGUGAGUAAUGCCUAGGAAUCUGCCUGGUAGUGGGGGAUAACGUCCGGACACGGGCGCUAAUACCGCAUACGUCCUGAGGCAGAAAGUGUGGGAUCUUCGGACCUCACGCUAUCAGAUGAGCCUAGGUCGGAUUAGCUAGUUGGUGGGGUAAAGGCCUACCAAGGCGACGAUCCGUAACUGGUCUGAGAGGAUGAUCAGUCACACUGGAACUGAGACACGGUCCAGACUCCUACGGGGGGCAGCAGUGGGGAAUAUUGGACAAUGGGCGGAAGCCUGAUCCAGCCAUGCCGCGUGUGUGAAGAAGGUCUUCGGAUUGUAAAGCACUUUAAGUUGGGAGGAAGGGCAGUAAGUUAAUACCUUGCUGUUUUGACGUUACCAACAGAAUAAGCACCGGCUAACUUCGUG
RNAcentral lists this ribosomal RNA (484 nucleotides) under uncultured bacterium. Its description in RNAcentral is "partial 16S ribosomal RNA". It matches the Rfam family "Bacterial small subunit ribosomal RNA", at positions 30 to 507 of the family's 1533-position model. The record is from RNAcentral.